RNAcentral lists this ribosomal RNA (1060 nucleotides) under Klebsiella pneumoniae. RNAcentral's name for it is "bacterial SSU rRNA". It matches the Rfam family "Bacterial small subunit ribosomal RNA", at positions 71 to 1125 of the family's 1533-position model. The record is from RNAcentral. Lineage: Bacteria; Pseudomonadati; Pseudomonadota; Gammaproteobacteria; Enterobacterales; Enterobacteriaceae.
ACAGAGAGCUUGCUCUCGGGUGACGAGCGGCGGACGGGUGAGUAAUGUCUGGGAAACUGCCUGAUGGAGGGGGAUAACUACUGGAAACGGUAGCUAAUACCGCAUAACGUCGCAAGACCAAAGUGGGGGACCUUCGGGCCUCAUGCCAUCAGAUGUGCCCAGAUGGGAUUAGCUAGUAGGUGGGGUAACGGCUCACCUAGGCGACGAUCCCUAGCUGGUCUGAGAGGAUGACCAGCCACACUGGAACUGAGACACGGUCCAGACUCCUACGGGAGGCAGCAGUGGGGAAUAUUGCACAAUGGGCGCAAGCCUGAUGCAGCCAUGCCGCGUGUGUGAAGAAGGCCUUCGGGUUGUAAAGCACUUUCAGCGGGGAGGAAGGCGAUGAGGUUAAUAACCUUGUCGAUUGACGUUACCCGCAGAAGAAGCACCGGCUAACUCCGUGCCAGCAGCCGCGGUAAUACGGAGGGUGCAAGCGUUAAUCGGAAUUACUGGGCGUAAAGCGCACGCAGGCGGUCUGUCAAGUCGGAUGUGAAAUCCCCGGGCUCAACCUGGGAACUGCAUUCGAAACUGGCAGGCUAGAGUCUUGUAGAGGGGGGUAGAAUUCCAGGUGUAGCGGUGAAAUGCGUAGAGAUCUGGAGGAAUACCGGUGGCGAAGGCGGCCCCCUGGACAAAGACUGACGCUCAGGUGCGAAAGCGUGGGGAGCAAACAGGAUUAGAUACCCUGGUAGUCCACGCUGUAAACGAUGUCGAUUUGGAGGUUGUGCCCUUGAGGCGUGGCUUCCGGAGCUAACGCGUUAAAUCGACCGCCUGGGGAGUACGGCCGCAAGGUUAAAACUCAAAUGAAUUGACGGGGGCCCGCACAAGCGGUGGAGCAUGUGGUUUAAUUCGAUGCAACGCGAAGAACCUUACCUGGUCUUGACAUCCACAGAACUUUCCAGAGAUGGAUUGGUGCCUUCGGGAACUGUGAGACAGGUGCUGCAUGGCUGUCGUCAGCUCGUGUUGUGAAAUGUUGGGUUAAGUCCCGCAACGAGCGCAACCCUUAUCCUUUGUUGCCAGCGGU